UGGGGAAUUUUGGACAAUGGGCGAAAGCCUGAUCCAGCAAUGCCGCGUGUGUGAAGAAGGCCUUCGGGUUGUAAAGCACUUUUGUCCGGAAAGAAAUCCUUGGCUCUAAUACAGUCGGGGGAUGACGGUACCGGAAGAAUAAGCACCGGCUAACUACGUGCCAGCAGCCGCGGUAAUACGUAGGGUGCAAGCGUUAAUCGGAAUACUGGGCGUAAAGCGUGCGCAGGCGGUUUGCUAAGACCGAUGUGAAAUCCCCGGGCUCAACCUGGGAACUGCAUUGGUGACUGGCAGGCUAGAGUAUGGCAGAGGGGGGUAGAAUUCCGACGUGUAGCAGUNAAUGCGUAGAGAUGUGGAGGAAUACCGAUGGCGAAGGCAGCCCCCUGGGCCAAUACUGACGCUCAUGCACGAAAGCGUGGGGAGCAAACAGGAUUAGAUACCCUGGUAGUCCACGCCCUAAACGAUGUCAACUAGUUGUUGGGGAUUCAUUUCCUUAGUAACGUAGCUAACGCGU
RNAcentral lists this ribosomal RNA (511 nucleotides) under uncultured bacterium. Its description in RNAcentral is "partial 16S ribosomal RNA". It matches the Rfam family "Bacterial small subunit ribosomal RNA", at positions 355 to 860 of the family's 1533-position model. The record is from RNAcentral.